UCUCUCUCUCUUAGAUGUGAAGGAUGGUAUUUGAUGUAUCGGCUUUCGAAGAUAUUGUUGAGAUUUAUUGUCAAGUUUCAAUCCAAUUAGGAUUUUAUUUUCAAUUGGUCAUUGAUUUUUGUGACUUUAUGAUUCUAUUUCUGGUAUUACUUUAUUUAAUUAUUUUCUUCUAAAAGUUGUUAGAAUUUGUAUCAUAAUAGAUCU
RNAcentral lists this long non-coding RNA (204 nucleotides) under Elaeis guineensis (African oil palm). RNAcentral's name for it is "long non-coding RNA (EGUI_LNC015234)". Lineage: Eukaryota; Viridiplantae; Streptophyta; Magnoliopsida; Arecales; Arecaceae. The record is from RNAcentral.